UUUAAAACCCAAAAAUGAUCUAAUACACAAAAAUACACAAAAACACAAAAAACAUUAAAACACAAAAAUACACAAAGUUAGAGCUAAUACACAAAUACACAAAUACACAAAUACAUAAAAUACACAAAAAGUUAAAACUUAGAGCUAAUACGCAAAAAAUACACAAAUACACAAAUACACACAAAUAAACCAAAAACACAAAAAAACACAAAAAACGAAAAAACACAAAAAUACAUAAAAUACACAAAAAGUUAAAACUUAGAGCUAAUACGCAAAGUCGGGGAUCAUAAAAAGGGACCAAAAGAACUUAGAACUAAUACGCAAAGUCGGGGAUCAUAAAAAGGGACCGAAAGAACUUAGAGCUAAUACGCAAAGUCGGGGAUCAUAAAAAGGGACCGAAAGAACUUAGAGCUAAUACGCAAAGUCGGGGAUCNN
RNAcentral lists this long non-coding RNA (435 nucleotides) under Capsella rubella. Its description in RNAcentral is "long non-coding RNA (CRUB_LNC004980)". The record is from RNAcentral. Lineage: Eukaryota; Viridiplantae; Streptophyta; Magnoliopsida; Brassicales; Brassicaceae.